This is a long non-coding RNA of Scylla paramamosain (green mud crab), 999 nucleotides long. RefSeq lists it as uncharacterized. Lineage: Eukaryota; Metazoa; Arthropoda; Malacostraca; Decapoda; Portunidae. The record is from RefSeq and is a predicted model, not a curated record. The transcript has 3 exons.
ACCCACCCACAGCCCACCUACAAGCCGUGUAUUACCCCUGACACGCUCACAACCUGUCCUCCACAUCACAUGGUAAUGGAUCCAGCUCUCAUUUCUCGCCCCCGCCCUCCUCGCAUAAAUAAAGUCCUUUACCGCCGGGGGUUAUUAAUGGAUCACUUGGGAUAAUUAAUUAGGGCGAUCAUAAUAAUUGGUGGUGAUUGAUGCACGCUGAUGCUGACACUGCCACACACACACACACACACACACGUCAAGUCACGCCGCGUUACCUCCUCACUCCUCACAGAGCCGUUUUCUAUGACACUUCUCCCUGCCUGCCUGCAUCUCGACUACACCUCGACUUUCAAAGGAUCUAGUUGAAGUGACACGGGUUUUCAAGGGUUUUCAAAGGGGUUUCGUGGUUCCAGUGACAGAUUAAUAAGAUUUCUAUAUUAUAUACAGGAAAAACUCUUGAGAACCUGGCUAGUCAUCUCUGUGGCCUUGGAAAACAGUAGUGGAGAGAGCGAAGCGUUUCUGAAGACAGCCACCUCAUAUCUGUUCAUGGCUCGCCGGAAACGCCCUCCCCUGCCGCUCCACGGUUCGAACCCCACUCAGCCCCUGGUGGAGAGGGACAAGUCAUGUGGCCCACUGUACCAUACCUUUUGUCAACACCACACAUACUGAGAUUGAGAAGUUGGGUGAAGAGGCAAGUGUUCAUCAUUACAAGCUGGAGAGUGUACAGGUGAUAAACAGAUGUGACCAAGCAGACUACCAUGUCUUUAUAUACAUCCCAGCAGCUCUACUACCAGCACACAGGGAAGGAAAUGAAGAUAGCAAUGUGUCAUGUACUGCUACUGAUCAUGCCAAGGCAGUCCCCCUCAGCCACAGAUAUUUCAGGCACUGUUGCAAAUGGACAAUGAAAGCGAGGAGGGAGCCAUGCAUCACUCUCUGCCAGCCCUCCACCAAGCAGAGGGCCACCAUGGCCCACACAACACAAUCAGGCACACCUAACACAGCAGAGGA